GGCGGUGUAGCUCAGCUGGCUAGAGCGUACGGUUCAUACCCGUAAGGUCGGGGGUUCGAUUCCCUCCGCCGCUACCA
RNAcentral lists this transfer RNA (77 nucleotides) under Geomicrobium halophilum. RNAcentral describes it as "tRNA-Met". It matches the Rfam family "tRNA". From Rfam's summary of the family: Transfer RNA (tRNA) molecules are approximately 80 nucleotides in length. Their secondary structure includes four short double-helical elements and three loops (D, anti-codon, and T loops). Further hydrogen bonds mediate the characteristic L-shaped molecular structure. tRNAs have two regions of fundamental functional importance: the anti-codon, which is responsible for specific mRNA codon recognition, and the 3' end, to which the tRNAs corresponding amino acid is attached (by aminoacyl-tRNA synthetases). tRNAs cope with the degeneracy of the genetic code in two manners: having more than one tRNA (with a specific anti-codon) for a particular amino acid; and 'wobble' base-pairing, i.e. permitting non-standard base-pairing at the 3rd anti-codon position. Lineage: Bacteria; Bacillati; Bacillota; Bacilli; Caryophanales. The record is from RNAcentral. RNAcentral also lists the same sequence under 12 other names.